This 460-nucleotide ribosomal RNA is filed under the name uncultured bacterium. RNAcentral's name for it is "partial 16S ribosomal RNA". It matches the Rfam family "Bacterial small subunit ribosomal RNA", at positions 338 to 795 of the family's 1533-position model. The record is from RNAcentral.
CCUACGGGAGGCAGCAGUGAGGAAUAUUGGUCAAUGGACGAGAGUCUGAACCAGCCAAGCAGCGUGAAGGAUGAAUGCCCUAUGGGUUGUAAACUUCUUUUAUAUGGGAAUAAAAUGUUCCACGUGUGGGAUUUUGUAUGUACCAUAUGAAUAAGGAUCGGCUAACUCCGUGCCAGCAGCCGCGGUAAUACGGAGGAUCCGAGCGUUAUCCGGAUUUAUUGGGUUUAAAGGGAGCGUAGGUGGAUUGUUAAGUCAGUUGUGAAAGUUUGCGGCUCAACCGUAGAAUUGCAGUUGAAACUGGCAGUCUUGAGUACAGUAGAGGUGGGCGGAAUUCGUGGUGUAGCGGUGAAAUGCGUAGAUAUAACGAAGAACACCGAUGGCGAAGGCAGUUCACUGGACUGCAACUGACGCUGAGGCUCGAAAGUGUGGGUAUCAAACAGGAUUAGAUACCCGAGUAGUC